RNAcentral lists this ribosomal RNA (148 nucleotides) under uncultured eukaryote. RNAcentral's name for it is "partial 18S ribosomal RNA". It matches the Rfam family "Eukaryotic small subunit ribosomal RNA", at positions 1299 to 1458 of the family's 1831-position model. The record is from RNAcentral.
UGGUGGAGUGAUUUGUCUGGUUAAUUCCGUUAACGAACGAGACCUCGACCUGCUAAAUAGUUCGAUUCAGACUUCGGUCUGAAUACAUUUACGUGACUUCUUAGAGGGACUAUCGGUGUGUAGCCGAUGGAAGUGCGAGGCAAUAACA